CUGCUCGGCCGGGCGCUCCCCGAUGGGAUAAGCUGUAAAGAUGUUCAGCUUUGAAGGGGACUUCAAGACGCGGCCCAAGCUGUCCCUCGGCGGCGCGAGUCGGAAGGAAGAAAAGGCUUCUCUUUUACAUCGUACUCAGGAAGAAAGAAGAAAGAGAGAGGAAGAAAGGCGAAGACUGAAAAAUGCAGUAAUUAUCCAGUCAUUUAUUCGAGGCUAUAGAGAUAGAAAACAGCAAUAUUCCGUCCAGAGAAGUGCGUUUGAUCGCUGUGCUCGCCUGGCACAGUCUGGCGGCUCCUUCCCCAUUGCUAAUGGUCCCAACCUUACCCUUUUGGUGAGGCAGCUUCUGUUUUUUUACAAACAAGAUGAAGACUCAAAACGUUUGAUAUGGCUGUAUCAGAACUUAAUUAAACACAGUGCACUGUUUGUCAAGCAGUUGGAUGGAUCCGAGAGACUUACAUGCUUAUUUCAAAUCAAGAGAUUGAUGAGCCUCUGUUGCAGGUUGCUGCAAAACUGUAACGACACAGUUUGAAUGUUGCACCUCCAAUGAGAAAGCUCCAGGUGUUUUCAUCUGAGAACACUUACUUGCCUGUUUUACAAGAUGCUAGCUAAGUGGUAUCAGUAAUUGAACAAAUUUUGCACUACAUGAUUCAAAAUGGGUAUUAUAGGUCUCUCUAUUUGUUGAUUAACAGCAAACUUCCAUCAAGUAUUGAAUAUUCUGAUUUAUCUCGAGUUCCUAUAGCAAAAACUUUGCUAGAGAAUGUUCUAAAACCAUUGCACUUUACUUACAACUCCUGUCCCGAAGGUGCAAGACAACAGAUUUUUAAGGCCUUCACAGAGGAGUUUGUAGCAGCACCUUUUACAGAUCAGAUCUUUCAUUUUGUCAUUCCGGCAUUAGCAGACGUGCAGACCAGCUUCCCUUACGAGCCCUUUCUGAGUGCACUGUUGCUCACAGAGAGGAGGUGUUCACAGAGGAGCAGGGGAGCACCGUGGCUUUUCUAUUUUGUUUUAACUGUUGGUGAAAAUUACUUGGGGGCUCUCUCUGAGGAAGGCCUGCUGGUAUAUUUACGGGUGCUCCAGACCUUUCUUCCUCAGUUACCAGUCUCGCCUGCCAGCGCCAGCUGUCAAGACUCAGCCAGUGACUCUGAGGAGGAGAGUGAAGAGGCCAAGAAGCCCUCAAGCCCUGAGGAUGGUAGACUAUCAAUACCAUACAUCACAGAGGAGUGCCUCAAAAAGCUGGAUACCAAGCAGCAGACCAAUACGCUGUUGAACUUGGUGUGGAGGGACUCGGCCAGUGAAGACGUGUUCACCGGGAUGGCCUCCGUGUGCCACACACUCAUGGUGCAGCGCCACAUGAUGGUGCCCAGAGUCAGGCUCCUCUAUAGUUUAGCCUUCAAUGCCAGGUUUCUGAGACAUCUUUGGUUUCUGAUAUCUUCCAUGACCACACAGAUGAUCACUGGAUCUCUGCUGCCAUUGCUGCAGGUGAUAUCCAGGGGCUCUCCUAUGUCUUUUGAAGAUUCUGGUCGCAUCAUCCCACUAUUUUACCUUUUCAGCUCCUUGUUUAGCCAUUCGCUAAUUUCCAUACACGAUAAUGAAUUCUUUGGUGAUCCCAUAGAAGUUGUAGGUCAGAGACAAUCAUCGAUGAUGCCAUUCACUUCGGAGGAGCUGGUGGUGCUGUCUCGGUGCCUGCAGGACGCCUGCCUGGGCAUCAUCAAGCUGGCCUACCCAGAGACAAAGCCAGAGGUGCGGGAAGAGUACGUCAUAGCGUUUCAGAGUGUUGGAGUCACCACCAGCUCUGAGAUGCAGCAGUGUAUACAGAUGGAGCAGAAACGGUGGAUUCAGUUAUUUAAGGUUAUCACCAAUCUAGUGAAAAUGUUGAAGUCCAGAGACACGAGGAGAAAUUUUUGCCCUCCAAAUCACUGGCUGUCAGAACAAGAAGAUAUUAAAGCAGAUAAGGUCACUCAGCUCUACGUGCCAGCAUCCAGACACGUGUGGAGGUUCCGGCACAUGGGGAGGAUAGGCCCGCUGCAGUCAACUCUGGAUGUGGGUUUGGAGUCCCCACCACUGUUGGUAUCUGAAGAAAGACAACUCGCCAUCCUAACAGAUCUGCCUUUUGUGGUUCCCUUUGAGGAGUGAGUAAAGAUUUUUCAGAAGUUGAUUUAUGCAGAUAAGCAAGAAGUUCAAGGAGAUGGUCCAUUUCUGGAUGGAAUUAAUGUCACAAUAAGAAGAAAUUAUAUUUAUGAAGAUGCUUAUGACAAGCUUUCUCCAGAAAAUGAGCCUGACUUGAAAAAGCGCAUCCGCAUGCACCUGCUCAAUGCCCAUGGGCUGGACGAAGCUGGUAUCGACGGUGGCGGCAUUUUCAGAGAGUUUUUAAAUGAACUACUGAAAUCAGGAUUUAACCCCAACCAGGGCUUCUUUAAGACUACUAAUGAAAGGCUUCUGUACCCCAACCCAGCUGCUCAGAUGCUCGUGGGAGACUCUUUUGCCAGACAUUACUACUUCCUGGGCAGAAUGCUUGGAAAGGCUCUCUACGAGAACACGCUGGUGGAGCUACCCUUCGCAGGCUUCUUCCUCUCCAAGCUGCUAGGGACCAGCGCCGACGUGGACAUUCAUCACUUGGCCUCCUUAGACCCUGAAGUCUAUAAGAACUUGCUGUUUCUCAAGAGCUACGAAGAUGAUGUGGAGGAACUUGGGCUGAACUUCACUGUGGUGAACAAUGACCUGGGAGAG
This is an RNA transcript of Otolemur garnettii (small-eared galago), 2727 nucleotides long. It is a transcript of the gene named ubiquitin-protein ligase E3C pseudogene, with no coding region annotated. Lineage: Eukaryota; Metazoa; Chordata; Mammalia; Primates; Galagidae. The transcript has a single exon. The record is from RefSeq and is a predicted model, not a curated record.